This is a small nucleolar RNA of Grammomys surdaster, 139 nucleotides long. RefSeq annotates it as small nucleolar RNA SNORA48. NCBI's taxonomy places the organism in Eukaryota, Metazoa, Chordata, Mammalia, Rodentia, Muridae. The record is from RefSeq and is a predicted model, not a curated record. The transcript has a single exon.
ACCCCCUGGCAGUGGACAAAGAGACACCUUGUUGGUGGUAGUGUUCUUAGUCAAGGGCAGAGCAGAUGGCAGUCCUUUGUUCAUCCUAGCUUGAUGCCUGGCUUAGAGGCCAAAGCUGUCUCAUGCCUAGGGCACAUAA